GGCGCGAUAGCAAAGCGGUUAUGUAGCGGCCUGCAAAGCCGUUUAGGCCGGUUCGACUCCGGCUCGCGCCUCCA
This 74-nucleotide transfer RNA is filed under the name Candidatus Burkholderia crenata. RNAcentral's name for it is "tRNA-Cys-GCA". It matches the Rfam family "tRNA". Rfam says of the family: Transfer RNA (tRNA) molecules are approximately 80 nucleotides in length. Their secondary structure includes four short double-helical elements and three loops (D, anti-codon, and T loops). Lineage: Bacteria; Pseudomonadati; Pseudomonadota; Betaproteobacteria; Burkholderiales; Burkholderiaceae. The record is from RNAcentral.